AGAGUUUGAUCCUGGCUCAGGAUGAACGCUGGCGGCGUGCCUAACACAUGCAAGUCGAACGAACCUUGGGGAACAGAUUACUUCGGUAUGAAGUUCCCCGCUGGUUAGUGGCGGACGGGUGAGUAACGCGUGGGUAACCUGCCGUAUGCAGGGGGAUAACAGUUAGAAAUGACUGCUAAUACCGCAUAAGCGCACAGUAUCGCAUGAUACAGUGUGAAAAACGAUAGUGGCAUACGAUGGACCCGCGUCUGAUUAGCUAGUUGGCGGGGUAACGGCCCACCAAGGCGACGAUCAGUAGCCGGCCUGAGAGGAAGGUCCCCCACAUUGGAACUGAGACACGGUCCAAACUCCUACGGGAGGCAGCAGUGAGGAAUAUUGGUCAAUGGACGAGAGUCUGAACCAGCCAAGUAGCGUGCAGGAAGACGGCCCUAUGGGUUGUAAACUGCUUUUAUGCGGAGAUAAAGUGUGGGAUGCGUCCCAUAUUGCAGGUACCGCAAGAAAAAGGACCGGCUAAUUCCGUGCCAGCAGCCGCGGUAAUACGGAAGGUCCGGGCGUUAUCCGGAUUUAUUGGGUUUAAAGGGAGCGUAGGCCGGAAGAUAAGCGUGUUGUGAAAAGUCGUGGCUCAACCUCGGCCUUGCAGCGCGAACUAUUUUUCUUGAGUACGCAGUAGGUAGGCGGAAUUCGUUGUGUAGCGGUGAAAUGCUUAGAUAUGACGAAGAACUCCGAUUGCGAAGGCAGCCUGCCGUAGCGCGACUGACGCUGAUGCUCGAAAGCGUGGGUAUCGAACAGGAUUAGAUACCCUGGUAGUCCACACUGUAAACGAUGAUUACUAGGUGUGGGGGGACUGACCCCUUCCGUGCCGGAGUAAACACAAUAAGUAAUCCACCUGGGGAGUACGGCCGCAAGGUUGAAACUCAAAGGAAUUGACGGGGGCCCGCACAAGCAGUGGAGUAUGUGGUUUAAUUCGAAGCAACGCAAAGAACCUUACCAGGUCUUGGCAUCGUGCGCAUAGUAUAGAGAUAUAUGAAGUCCUUCGGGACGCAUAGACAGGUGGUGCAUGGUUGUCGUCAGCUCGUGUCGUGAGAUGUCGGGUUAAGUCCCUCAACGAGCGCAACCCUUACGAUUAGUUGCUACGCAAGAGCACUCUAAUAGGACUGCCGUUGACAAAACGGAGGAAGGUGGGGAUGACGUCAAAUCAUCAUGCCCCUUAUGACCUGGGCUACACACGUACUACAAUGGUGAUCAACAGAGGGAAGCAAAGCGGCGACGCGGAGCAAAUCCCUAAAAGUCAUCUCAGUUCGGAUCGCAGGCUGCAACCCGCCUGCGUGAAGUUGGAAUUGCUAGUAAUCGCAGAUCAGAAUGCUGCGGUGAAUACGUUCCCGGGCCUUGCACUCACCGCCCGUCAAG
Molecule: ribosomal RNA, 1407 nt
Filed under: uncultured bacterium
Lineage: Bacteria
Description: bacterial SSU rRNA
Rfam family: Bacterial small subunit ribosomal RNA
Source: RNAcentral